AGGAUUUUAAGUUAAAUAAACUAUUAACCUUCAAAGUUAAAAUUGCCUAAACAUGUAAAUUCUA
This 64-nucleotide transfer RNA is filed under the name Leptobelus gazella. RNAcentral describes it as "tRNA-Trp". The record is from RNAcentral. Lineage: Eukaryota; Metazoa; Arthropoda; Insecta; Hemiptera; Membracidae.